GUCUUUUUGAAAUUAAUUUAAAGUCUAACCUGCCCACUGAUUUUAAAUUUAAAGGCCGCAGUAUUUUGACUGUGCAAAGGUAGCAUAAUCAUUUGUCUUUUAAUUGAAGGCUGGAAUGAAUGGUUGAAUGAGAUGUAUACUGUCUCAUUUUUAUAAAUUAAGAAUUUAGCUUUUAAAUUAAAAGGUUUAAAUUUUAUUAAAAGACGAGAAGACCCUAUAGAUUUUUAUAAAAAUUAUUUUUAAAAUUUAAAGUUAUUAAAAUUUUUUUAAAAAUAAUUUUUAUUUGAUUGGGGUGAUUGAAAAAUUAAAUAAACUUUUUUUAUUUUUAAACAUUGAUUUAUGAUUAAUUGAUCCAAUUUUAUUGAUUAAAAGAUUAAAUUACCUUAGGGAUAACAGCGUAAUUUUUUUGAAGAGUUCUUAUCGAUAAAAAAGAUUGCGACCUCGAUGUUGAAUUAAAGGUUAUUUUUAAAUGUAAAAGUUUAGAGUUUAGGUCUGUUCGACCUUUGAAUCUU
This 512-nucleotide ribosomal RNA is filed under the name Micromus variegatus. RNAcentral's name for it is "partial 16S ribosomal RNA". It matches the Rfam family "Bacterial large subunit ribosomal RNA", at positions 1825 to 2596 of the family's 2925-position model. Lineage: Eukaryota; Metazoa; Arthropoda; Insecta; Neuroptera; Hemerobiidae. The record is from RNAcentral.